UACGAAGGGUGCAAACGUUGCUCGGAAUCAUUGGGCGUAAAGCGCACGUAGGCGGCUUCGCAAGUCGGAUGUGAAAUCCCACGGCUCAACCAUGGACGUGCAUCCGAAACUGUGAGGCUUGAGUAUGGAAGAGGGUCGCGGAAUUCCCGGUGUAGAGGUGAAAUUCGUAGAUAUCGGGAGGAACACCAGUGGCGAAGGCGGCGACCUGGGCCAAUACUGACGCUGAGGUGCGAAAGCGUGGGGAGCAAACAGG
Molecule: ribosomal RNA, 253 nt
Filed under: uncultured bacterium
Lineage: Bacteria
Description: partial 16S ribosomal RNA
Rfam family: Bacterial small subunit ribosomal RNA
Source: RNAcentral